This 540-nucleotide ribosomal RNA is filed under the name uncultured Geobacteraceae bacterium. RNAcentral's name for it is "bacterial SSU rRNA". It matches the Rfam family "Bacterial small subunit ribosomal RNA", at positions 9 to 526 of the family's 1533-position model. Lineage: Bacteria; Pseudomonadati; Thermodesulfobacteriota; Desulfuromonadia; Geobacterales; Geobacteraceae. The record is from RNAcentral.
GAGUUUGAUCCUGGCUCAGAACGAACGCUGGCGGCGUGCCUAACACAUGCAAGUCGAACGUGAUCCAGAGCUUGCUCUGGUGAAAGUGGCGCACGGGUGAGUAACGCGUGGAUAACCUACCCUGGUAUCCGGGAUAACAUUCCGAAAGGGGUGCUAAUACCGGAUAAGCCCACGGGCUCUUUGGAGCUUGCGGGAAAAGGUGGCCUCUAUUUAUAAGCUACUGUAUCAGGAUGGGUCCGCGUACCAUUAGCUAGUUGGCGGUGUAACGGACCACCAAGGCGACGAUGGUUAGCUGGUCUGAGAGGAUGAUCAGCCACACUGGAACUGAGACACGGUCCAGACUCCUACGGGAGGCAGCAGUGGGGAAUUUUGCGCAAUGGGGGAAACCCUGACGCAGCAACGCCGCGUGAGUGAUGAAGGCCUUUGGGUCGUAAAGCUCUGUCAGAGGGGAAGAAAUGAUAUAGUGCUAAUACCACUUUACCUUGACGGUACCCUCAAAGGAAGCACCGGCUAACUCCGUGCCAGCAGCCGCGGUAAUAC